GUACCUACGAGGUGGGGAUAACGUAGCGAAAGUUACGCUAAUACCGCAUACGAUCUAUGGAUGAAAGUGGGGGAUCGCAAGACCUCAUGCUCCUGGAGCGGCCGAUAUCUGAUUAGCUAGUUGGUAGGGUAAAAGCCUACCAAGGCAUCGAUCAGUAGCUGGUCUGAGAGGACGGCCAGCCACACUGGAACUGAGACACGGUCCAG
Molecule: ribosomal RNA, 206 nt
Filed under: uncultured bacterium
Lineage: Bacteria
Description: partial 16S ribosomal RNA
Rfam family: Bacterial small subunit ribosomal RNA
Source: RNAcentral